ACACGUGACGUGGCCUGGGGAGCAUGGAUGUCCUCCAGCCCCGCGGCACGGACGGAGAGGGAUCGGACGUGGUGCCGGGCUGGGGGCUCCCAGUAAUUCCUCUCUUUUACUCCUUAAAACAACCAGAAAAAUGGCUCACAUGUUUUGCUUUAUUGAACACGAUGUCACUGGGAAAAGCCACGAUGUGAACAAGUUUCCGGAGAGCAAACCUCAGACACUGCAUGUGGGUGCUCCAGGCUGGGAAAGCUAUUUCCUCCUGAUCUGCAGCUGUUUGACACGUAGCUGCUCCUUGCUGAGUAACGCAGCUGAUGAGAAACCUCGGCCAUAAAUGUUACACACGUUUGCACUUUCCCUGUGCCAGCUCAAGGGCUGAAACUGAAAACAGAAACCUGGAAAGCAUUGCUACAAGCUGUCACUUGACAUUCAUUUUUAAUUUGACUUGCUGCGAAAAUCUGGAAGUAAAUUUUAUGAUUUCUUUAAGUUCUGGCUCAUGAUUUUUAAGUGCUUCCGAUCAAUAAUGCUGAAACCCUUUCCUUGUUUUCGAGUCAACUCGUCCGCUGCAAGCAGUUGUGGUAUAUGAGAACUGAAACUGCUAGGAGUGAGCACCUUCUCUACCCCUCUUGAUUAAUCUGCUGUGAUUGUGCAUCGUCAUCCUCAGCAGCCUCCCCACCACCUAAUAUUUUUUUCAGGCACAUCUCAAUACAUAGAGAAGAGCUGUUAUGGGAUGAGGUCAAAUUCAGCUGCAGCACUGCUCAUAGCUUAUCUCACACAGUAGACAAGAAGGAAAAUA
Cygnus atratus (black swan) is the source of this 790-nucleotide long non-coding RNA. RefSeq lists it as uncharacterized. The transcript is spliced from 4 exons. NCBI's taxonomy places the organism in Eukaryota, Metazoa, Chordata, Aves, Anseriformes, Anatidae. The record is from RefSeq and is a predicted model, not a curated record.